Molecule: long non-coding RNA, 492 nt
Filed under: Fragaria vesca (wild strawberry)
Lineage: Eukaryota; Viridiplantae; Streptophyta; Magnoliopsida; Rosales; Rosaceae
Description: long non-coding RNA (FVES_LNC003104)
Source: RNAcentral
CGCAUGCUUCAAAAUCUUAAUCCAGAACAGAAAUUCGCAUAAACAACAAAGCACCAGUUCAUAAUCCAAACUCAAAAAAGCAUAGCAAAUUAGACAACAGUUCCUAAUCCGAAAACCAAAUGUACUAUAACAUCAAAAAAAAAAAACCAAAGACACAACUCUCCGGUCCAGUUCCUAGUACCUCCUGGGCCCGCCGCGGCCGUACCCGACCGGAGCAGCCUGCAGAUCAGUGGAUUCGACCCUGACACCGGGAAUAUCACCCAUGCCGAGAGCAGUGAGCAUGUCAAGAGUCUCCUUGUCGACGGCGAUGUCGUCAGUCUUGAUGGCAGACUCAUCGGGGACGAAGUCCAUGCGGCGCUCGCGCUCCUCCUCCUGAAGCUUGAGGGAGAUGCCGCGGACGGGGCCCUUCUGGAUGCGCUUCAUGAGAUGGGUCGAGAAUCCGGCGAUCUUGUUGCGGAGGCGCUUCGAUGGGAUGAUGGCGACUUCUUCCAG